RNAcentral lists this ribosomal RNA (1080 nucleotides) under Sordariomycetes sp. genotype 732 JMUR-2016. RNAcentral describes it as "eukaryotic LSU rRNA". The stretch from base 503 to 1080 matches the Rfam family "Eukaryotic large subunit ribosomal RNA", at positions 1 to 591 of the family's 3401-position model. The record is from RNAcentral. Lineage: Eukaryota; Fungi; Ascomycota; Sordariomycetes.
AGCGUCUCACGGCGCACCCAGAAACCCUAUGUGAACCUAUACCUCUCUGUUGCCUCGGCGCCGGCCGGGGGCUUCUAUAAGCCCCCCCUCCCCGUGAGGAGCAGGUCCGCCGACGGCCCUACAAACUCUUGUUUUUAUAACCCGUCUCUUCUGAGUACAAAACAUAAAUGAAUCAAAACUUUCAACAACGGAUCUCUUGGUUCUGGCAUCGAUGAAGAACGCAGCGAAAUGCGAUAAGUAAUGUGAAUUGCAGAAUUCAGUGAAUCAUCGAAUCUUUGAACGCACAUUGCGCCCGCUGGUAUUCCAGCGGGCAUGCCUGUUCGAGCGUCAUUUCAACCCUCAAGCCUUGCUUGGUGUUGGGGCGCUGCCGCUCCCUUUCGGGGAGAGGCAGGCCCUGAAAUUUAGUGGCGAGCUCGCCAGGACUCCGAGCGUAGUAGUUUACAACCUCGCUUAGGAAGGACUGGUGAUGCCCUGCCGUAAAACCCCCCAAUUUCUGAAAAGUUGACCUCGGAUCAGGUAGGAAUACCCGCUGAACUUAAGCAUAUCAAUAAGCGGAGGAAAAGAAACCAACAGGGAUUGCCCUAGUAACGGCGAGUGAAGCGGCAACAGCUCAAAUUUGAAAUCUGGCUUCGGCCCGAGUUGUAAUUUGCAGAGGAUGCUUCUGGCGCGGUGCCUUCCGAGUUCCCUGGAACGGGACGCCAUAGAGGGUGAGAGCCCCGUAUGGUUGGAUACCAAGCCUGUGUGAAGCUCCUUCGACGAGUCGAGUAGUUUGGGAAUGCUGCUCAAAAUGGGAGGUAAAUCUCUUCUAAAGCUAAAUACCGGCCAGAGACCGAUAGCGCACAAGUAGAGUGAUCGAAAGAUGAAAAGCACCUUGAAAAGGGGGUUAAAUAGUACGUGAAAUUGUUGAAAGGGAAGCGCUUGUGACCAGACUUGCGCCAGGCGGCUCAUCCGGCGUUCUCGCCGGUGCACUCCGCCUGGUUCAGGCCAGCAUCGGUUCUCGCGGGGGGAUAAGAACGGUGGGAAUGUGGCUCCCCUCGGGGAGUGUUAUAACCCACCGUACGAUACCCUCGCGGGGACCGA